UUGGUCAUGUGUAUGUGAGUGCUUUAAUUCUUUGGUGCUUUAAAGUUAAUAAAUCAAGAAAUAUAUGUUGGUCUUGUGCAUGUGAAUAUUAGUGUUUAGAUUUUUAAAAUUAAUAAAUCAAAGGAUUGAAACGAUCAUGUAAGUGUUAAGGUUAUUAAAAUUAAUAAAUCAAAGGAAUAUGUUGGUUGUGUGUAUGUGAGUGUUUUUAAUUCUUUGGUGCUUUAAUGUUAAUAAAUCAAGAAAU
This 244-nucleotide long non-coding RNA is filed under the name Vitis vinifera (wine grape). RNAcentral describes it as "long non-coding RNA (VVIN_LNC007027)". Lineage: Eukaryota; Viridiplantae; Streptophyta; Magnoliopsida; Vitales; Vitaceae. The record is from RNAcentral.